This 253-nucleotide ribosomal RNA is filed under the name uncultured bacterium. RNAcentral describes it as "partial 16S ribosomal RNA". It matches the Rfam family "Bacterial small subunit ribosomal RNA", at positions 524 to 776 of the family's 1533-position model. The record is from RNAcentral.
UACGGAGGGUGCAAGCGUUAUCCGGAUUCACUGGGUUUAAAGGGUGCGUAGGUGAGUCGGUAAGUCAGUGGUGAAAUCCCCGAGCUUAACUUGGGAACUGCCAUUGAUACUAUCAGUCUUGAAUACCGUGGAGGUCAGCGGAAUAUGUCAUGUAGCGGUGAAAUGCUUAGAUAUGACAUAGAACACCAAUUGCGAAGGCAGCUGGCUACUCGGAUAUUGACACUGAGGCACGAAAGCGUGGGGAUCAAACAGG